This 414-nucleotide ribosomal RNA is filed under the name uncultured microorganism. RNAcentral's name for it is "bacterial SSU rRNA". It matches the Rfam family "Archaeal small subunit ribosomal RNA", at positions 459 to 872 of the family's 1478-position model. The record is from RNAcentral.
CAGCCGCCGCGGUAAUACCGGCGGCCCGAGUGGCGGUCACUAUUAUUGGGCUUAAAGCGUCCGUAGCCGGGUUGGGAAGUCCUCCGGGAAAUCUGGCCGCUUAAAGGUCAGAAUGCCGGAGGAUACUCCCAGCCUAGGGAGCGGGAGAGGCCGAGGGUAUUCCCGGAGUAGGGGGGAAAUCCUAUAAUCCCGGGAGGACAACCUGUGGCGAAGGCGCUCGGCUGGAACGCGUCCGACGGUGAGGGACGAAGGCCAGGGGAGCAAACCGGAUUAGAUACCCGGGUAGUCCUGGCUGUAAACGAUGCGGACUUUGUGUCGGACAAGCUAUGAGCUUGUCCGGUGCCGGAGGGAAACCGUUAAGUCCGCCGCCUGGGGAGUACGGCCGCAAGGCUGAAACUUAAAGGAAUUGGCGGG